Molecule: long non-coding RNA, 1918 nt
Filed under: Pongo abelii (Sumatran orangutan)
Lineage: Eukaryota; Metazoa; Chordata; Mammalia; Primates; Hominidae
Description: lincRNA
Source: RNAcentral
UCUGUCCUUGACCUUUCCAGUGUUGACAGUGAUGUCUUUGAAAUCCUCCUAUCCUUGGCUUCCAUAGCAAUACGCACUCCUAGAGUUUGUCACCCUCUUUCACCCCUCCACUUCAUUCUUCUUCACAAGGGCCAACCCUCACGUGUUGAGGUUCCUUGGGAUGCUGCCUGGCUGUUCUUCAUUGCGGACUUGAUGUUUUCCUCUAUCCUGUUGUGCACAUUCUUAUGGCUUCAAUACUUUGUCUAAGCUGUUGAUUUCAAAGUUGGCAUUUCAUCCCAGCUCUCUCCUGAGUUUCAGACUGCCUUUUCAAAAGCCUACUGGGCAUCUCUAUCCAGUGGUCACCCAGGCACAUCAACUCAUUCGAAACUGGUGACUCUCCAGGUAUUUCUAUCUCACCCACCCCAAGAUGCUCAAGCAGAACACCUGGCAUCUCCUUGGGUCAUCUUUUCCCCAUCUUUAUACCUAUUCUCCAUCUAAUCCCAUCUACCCAUUACAUGUUUUUUAAAUCCAUCCACCUCUCUUCAACCCCACUGCUCAUUCCUUACAUCAUUAACAUCUCUCUUGUAGACUCCUGACCUCCCUCCAAUUCUUGCUAUGGUCUGAGGAAUUUUUCUAAAGUGCAAAUCUGGCCAUGUCAGUCCCCUGUGUAAGGCUCUUUCAUGGUUUCUUGUUGCUUUUAGGAUAAGUUCAAGUCCUUAUCAAGGAUCUUAAGACCUACCUUGCCUGGCCUCAGGUUACCCUCCCCAACCUAACUCAUACGACUCCCAAACUCAUAUUCCAAGUUCUGACCAUACAGCACUGUUUUCAAAUCCUUGAACAAGCCAAGGUUGACUUGCCUCUGGAGCUUUUUCCUGCCAUUCUUCUUCCUGGAACACUUUCUCAGAAUCCUGUUUCUCCACUAAUUCCUAUUUGUCUUUCUGAUGCUACUCCACAGGUCCCCUCCUCCAGGAAGCCCUCCGUGUUCUCCCAGGCUAGAUGAGAGCCCCUCCUCUGUAUCCUAUAUUUCUUGGGCACACAAUAAUUCUGUACAUUUGAAGCUCGUUCUACUCUUUCUACUUUCUCUGUCCCAGCACUUAGUACAGGUGAUCGUAGCAGCCUCUUUAUGGGUCAGAGCCGCCUAUAGGACCAGAAGCUUCAUGAAGCCAGCACCCCAACUUCCAACACCAGCGUCUGCAAUGCACAACAGAGAUCCCAGGUGAGGAAGCUGAACUGACUUUGGUGACACAUAUUCCCCAAGAUCUGACAGCUGAUGAGUGACAGAGCACGUAUUCAAACCCAGAGAUAUGAAUUCGCUAUGCUGCCCAGGCUGGUCUUGAACUCCUGACUUCAAGUAAUCUUCCCACCUUCGCUUGCCAAAGUGCUGGGAUUACAGGCGUGAACUACUGCUCCCAGCCAAGAGCUCACUUUUGUUUGCUAGUGGUGUUCUUAGUAUCUUUUCAUAUUGGAGGCUUUGGUGGUAGUGCUGAAGUAUUACACUCACCAUCCAAGGUUUACAGGACUUUUGUUUUAAUAGGGAACAGAUGGAACUGUUUAGUUCUGCAUCUUUGCAGGUAUACAAAAUGUGCCCACCAGGACUCUGUUUUAUAUCCAUUGAAAGCAAGAAGUAAUACAGUAAAACUUUGCCUGGCUAGAGGCUUUGAAAGAAUGGACUAUUCUGAUUUAAUUCUAUUAACCUGGAAGUAUGAAGGUGAAAAAAAUUAAAAAAUUUCCUGUUGAAUGCAAUUUGAAAAUAUAGCCAAUGAUUCCACUUUUAUUCUCUAGUAAGUUUGGACAUUCUGAUAUAGUUGGUGUUUUAUUAUAGAACUUCUAGUGUGCCUGAAGAUCAUUUUCUAAAACUUUAGAUGUAAGAGGAUGUAAAUGGUAUUGUAUGAGAUCAGGCUGGAUGAGAACUGACACUUGUAAAUAUACUUUUUAGACU